Triticum aestivum (bread wheat) is the source of this 3527-nucleotide RNA transcript. RefSeq lists it as uncharacterized. NCBI's taxonomy places the organism in Eukaryota, Viridiplantae, Streptophyta, Magnoliopsida, Poales, Poaceae. The transcript has 8 exons. The record is from RefSeq and is a predicted model, not a curated record.
AUGGAUGAGAGAGAGAGGGAGUUAACACCACCACGCCCAUGUCUCUCUCGUCUCUCCCGUUCCAACCAAAUCCGGGGCUGGCGGCGGCAAACCCUAGCGCUGCGGCGGCGGCGGUGGCGGCGGCGGCAGACCCUAGCGCCAUGGACUGGCCGGUGCAGGGGACGGCGAUCACGGCCGGUUGAUGAUGGCGCCUCAGGUCCAUAAAGCGUUGGCUCCUCUCCAUCGACAUGACCAGCACAAAAGGUGCGUAUUCCCGUCACCUGUUGCCUUCGGUGUCUCCGUACGUUUCAGCCCCGUUCGAUGCCUCUCCUCCAGCCACACGACGUCCAUUUGCCUCUUUCUCUUCCCUGUGGACGUCACCUCCCCACGUUCUGGAUGUACCAUGAUUCUGGAUCGGGCACAAGUCGCCCCAAUAGGAGAGCAGGUCUGGUGUGGUUUCAUGGUGGGUGUUGAGGAGCAGGGGGCUGGGGAGGGAGUCGGCCAUCACUGCCUACCACUGCUCACGAGUCGUCGUGCCCCAUCCCCAACCUAGACUGCACAUCUACAGCUCCGGCAUCUCCCUCUCCCCUAUUUUUUGCCUUUUGAUUUCCCUGGUUCGUUGAUAAUGCGAUUUUAAUUUUUUGAUUUAUGUGUGUAGAUCGGAUGAAGAAUACAAGAGGAAGACUAAGAACAAGUUUAUUUGGUUGACAGUUUAUAACCUCAGCAAGGAGCACGUGACAUUGACGCCAUCACUGAGCUCAAGAUGGUGCCUUGCAAUGAUCAUUGCACUUCUCUUCCAUACAUCAGUGCCACUUCCAAAGCGGAGUGCCUCCUAGAGGAUAGUCUCUAUUAUCAGAAGGGUGAGUGUCCAGUUUGCUCUGCAUAAUACAACGAAGCCUUCAGUGUUGGAGGGGAACACACGUUCGAAAUAAUAACAUUAUAGGAAGAAGAAGCUGAACUGGAAUAUGUGUCUUCUCUUCCUGAAAGUUUCCUUAAAUGAUUCAGUACCCCAUGAAAUUAAUCUGGACUGAAAUUACAUAUUUUUAUUAGGUGAAGCAGCACAGAAGACAAAGAAGGCAUAUUGUGCGAGAGCGGCGAUGGCAUGGACGAGCUUGUCUGCUCCCGGUUCGGGUACCAAUGGGACAGCGACACGUUCUAGCUUGCACUGAAUGUGAUCGUAUAGAGACACGAUGGAUAUGCCCAAUCCUACAGUGGCGUACGGAGCCGGCUUCGUGUGAGAUGACGGUGGGUUAGCGGUCCAUCAUGCACGUGUUCCGUUGGUACAAAUCUCUUCUUGCGGUACACAACGACUACCAUCAGUUGCAGCCCGGCGCGCAAACGUCGUCUUCCUAAUAAACAGAUAAGGGUGCACAACAUUGUGGAUCCAACCUUGCCGGCGACGCUGAGAAAAAAAGGCAAAUCUAUCCAUUCGGGCACUGCACGAGGCGAGAAGCUAGGAGCUAUGGUGAUGGCGGCGGCGGGAGGUGGGAGGCGGGAGGCGACGGAUUCCAGUUCCUAGCAGAUCCGGUUCACAGGUUUCCCUUGCCGGAUCUCGCCGCCGGCGGCUCUUUACUGCGCAGUGAAGCCAAGCAAGCUGCGGUACACACGCCCGCCGAAUCCAGCAUUUGUGAUGUGGGUGAUGCGGCGCCGACACCUGACAGUACAACUAUAUUUGAACAUCGCUUGCAAUGGGAUGGCCCUGUCGGCGCCGAACUCAGAGCAAUCGAUGGGCAAGGACGAUCCUCAGCCGCCUGGCUGGACCAAGAGGGUGCGUGUUGGGCAUGCACCUGAUGAACGUCCCCCAUGUGCUGGCAGAAUGAGUGCCUUGAAAAAACAUUGAGAAGAUAUGUAGUUCCUGCGGUAGGAAGCCACUUUAAUUCACUUGGAGAAGCAUAUGUCUAUUACAAUCUGUAUUCUAGGGACACUGGGUUUGGAAUAACGUACGGCAAGAGCAGGCUUAAUGUUGAAAGGAUAAAUGCAUGCAGGAGAUACUAUGUGGCUGCUCCUGCUCGGUAAGCACUGUUUUCAAUGGACCAUCACAUACCCAAUUGGCUGAUGUAUCGGACAUAACAUUUAGCGUCAAUGAAAAGAGAAAUGAAUAAGUUUGACACACUGUUGUACAUGCGACUUCUUUUUGAUAGGGAAGCAAGUGAGAACUAUGAAGAGAGACGUACAAAGAUAGUAAGUUUUUUAAAUAACAUAUGAUGUUCCUAUAUCCUCACUUCCUGCUGUUGUAUCAUGAAACUAAUGCGCGUAAUGAAAAUGAACACACCACUGGAGUUGCAUGCUAGCGAUAUGUACACACGAGCCAUGUUUGAAAAGUUUGGCGAAAUUAUGUAUGAAGCAGGGCAGUACAAAGUAGAGGAGGUCAGUAAAGGGAAAAUCUAUUUCGUGCGACGAUACCAUCCAGAGAAACAUGAAAAGUGGUGCGGGGUGUGUACAAAGUGGAAGUUGUUGAGGAAGGGAGGGAACUGAUAUGUGAGUGUGCUAAUUUCGAGCACACAUUCUUGCUCUGCUGCCAUGCAGUUAAGGUCCUUGAUUUCCUCGGCAUAUACCAGAUACCAGCAAAACAUAUUCUGAAACGUUGGACAAAGGAUGCAGGAGAUGUAUUGUCCACCCACUUAUCACACCUUCAGAAGGAUAGCAUUUCAGUGAAUUCAAUAACCUUUAGGCACUCAAAUCUUCACACACAUGCACUCGAAGUGGUGAGGCUGGAGAUGCAAAUACAGAGGCCUAUGACUAUGAGUGUGCAAUGGACAUCUUGAAGAUAGCAAUGGAUAAACUGACACCAAUAGCCGCCAUGCGAGAUGGAAUGUGAUUGCAUUGGAAGACAAAAUUCAGCCAAACAAGAGAUGUCUACACCUGAUUCAGGCGGGGGCUCUGUUAGCCAUGUGUCUUCCAGCUCUAGCUCGAGUGCCCUUGCAGUCAGCGAUGAGCACGACCUGCAUCUUCAGUUCUUGCCAUCUGAUGAUCAUGUCGCUGGCGGCAGUGCUCCAGGGCAUGCGGCUUUCGUGCAGGUCGGUGAUUGAGGAUACCGUGUACGGGAGGGCUGAUGGUGUAUCGAUGGCAGAUGAAGGUUGCGAAGAUGAGUCACAAGUCCAGUCCCGUUCUUCAACCGUGGAAGAGGUGGGUACCUAUGAUCCAGAAAAUCAGAGCUACGCCGGCGGUGAUAACUGGUCCAAGACAGGAAGCUACUCCGAGUUAAGGACCAAGGUUGCUGAUGGAUCCAUCAGCGGCGUCGAUGGUGGGAGACGCGCAGCAAAGCGAGCAAGAGUUGAGGACUGAUGUGUUCCGAAGAUGCUUAAAGCUGUUACCCUUAGUAACCGCUGAACUCAGCGGUGAAAUCCUAGACUAAAAAAGGUGUUUGUGUUAAGAUUAGUGGCGUACAAGUUUGCGCCAGUGUGGUGCGGCGGGUUCAAUGUGGAUCUAGGAGUCCUGGUAGGUUUGUGUGGAAAAAAUAAAAGGAGGUUAGGUUUUGGUUUGUCGAAAUCCAUGUAUGUUGAUUAGAUUAUGUUUUCAGUGUCUGCCCCCAAUGACUGGUCAACUCA